AGUGAACGCUGGCGGUAGGCCUAACACAUGCAAGUCGAACGGCAGCACAGUAAGAGCUUGCUCUUACGGGUGGCGAGUGGCGGACGGGUGAGGAAUACAUCGGAAUCUACUUUUUCGUGGGGGAUAACGUAGGGAAACUUACGCUAAUACCGCAUACGACCUACGGGUGAAAGCAGGGGAUCUUCUGACCUUGCGCGAUUGAAUGAGCCGAUGUCGGAUUAGCUAGUUGGCGGGGUAAAGGCCCACCAAGGCGACGGUCCGUAGCUGGUCUGAGAGGAUGAUCGGCCACACUGGAACUGAGACACGGACCAGACUCCUACGGGAGGCAGCAGUGGGGAAUAUUGGGCAAUGGGCGCAAGCCUGAUCCAGCCAUACCGCGUGGGUGAAGAAGGCCUUCGGGUUGUAAAGCCCUUUUGUUGGGAAAGAAAAGCAGCAGGUUAAUACCCCGCUGUUCUGACGGUACCGAAAGAAUAAGCACCGGCUAACUUCGUG
This 492-nucleotide ribosomal RNA is filed under the name uncultured bacterium. RNAcentral describes it as "partial 16S ribosomal RNA". It matches the Rfam family "Bacterial small subunit ribosomal RNA", at positions 29 to 507 of the family's 1533-position model. The record is from RNAcentral.